GUUUUCCGCUAAGUCUCCUCGGAGUCGCCUUCCUGGAGCAUUUUGGUUAUUGAUCCGGCAGAAAGGCCGCAGCUCUGAGGCUGUGCGUCCCUGGGGAGGAGGGGAGUGAGAAGGGACGUGGGCUGGCGGUUGGGGGAGGGAGUUGAUGAACUCCAGAAGAUGUAGGGCUUCCCUCAGUACCCCGGGGCCGCCC
Molecule: non-coding RNA, 193 nt
Organism: Myotis davidii
Lineage: Eukaryota; Metazoa; Chordata; Mammalia; Chiroptera; Vespertilionidae
Source: Rfam